RNAcentral lists this unclassified non-coding RNA (235 nucleotides) under plant metagenome. RNAcentral's name for it is "partial contains small subunit ribosomal RNA, internal transcribed spacer 1, and 5.8S ribosomal RNA". The record is from RNAcentral.
UCUCCGUUGGUGAACCAGCGGAGGGAUCAUUACCGAAGUUACCUUCAAAACCCACUGUGAACCUUACCUCUUGCCGCGUUGUCUCGGCGGGAGGCGGUGUGCGUCGCGCGCCCUAGCGGGCCGCGCCGCUCCCGUCCCCGCCGGCAGCGCCAAACUCUAAAUGCACAGCGGUCUGUACGUCCUGAUUUACAAAAAAAACAAGUUAAAACUUUCAACAACGGAUCUCUUGGUUCUG